GAUCAUGGCUCAGGAUGAACGCUAGCUACAGGCUUAACACAUGCAAGUCGAGGGGAAACGACAUCGAAAGCUUGCUUUUGAUGGGCGUCGACCGGCGCACGGGUGAGUAACGCGUAUCCAACCUGCCCACCACUUGGGGAUAACCUUGCGAAAGUAAGACUAAUCCCAAUGACAUCCCACGAAGACAUCUGAAUGGGAUUAAAGNUUUAUCGGUGAUGGAUGGGGAUGCGUCUGAUUAG
RNAcentral lists this ribosomal RNA (239 nucleotides) under uncultured bacterium. RNAcentral's name for it is "partial 16S ribosomal RNA". It matches the Rfam family "Bacterial small subunit ribosomal RNA", at positions 15 to 244 of the family's 1533-position model. The record is from RNAcentral.